Long non-coding RNA from Zeugodacus cucurbitae (melon fly), 634 nucleotides. RefSeq lists it as uncharacterized. Lineage: Eukaryota; Metazoa; Arthropoda; Insecta; Diptera; Tephritidae. The transcript is spliced from 2 exons. The record is from RefSeq and is a predicted model, not a curated record.
UGAAUUAAGAGGAAAAUGUAAAUUAUAUUCAUAUUUUGUAUUAAUCAGUAUCUAUAUGUUGUAAUAAUUUAAAAAAAAAUCCCCUUUUUCGAACUUCGAAUCCAAAUAUUUCGAUUUUAGAGACUAACUUCGAAACUUUUUUUACUUAUGACUCAAUCUCCUUGAAAAUAUUAGUUUGUCCAAUACCCAGAAAAGCCGUGUAGUGUAAUGAUUGAGUUUCGGACAUUUUUUUAGUUUCAACAUUAGCAAUUACACACUUUAUACCGUAAUUACAUGUUGCCUAGGCGCUCAAAAAUAUCAAAAAAAUAUGUUUUUUUUUUCGUUUUUACACAAACUUUCACUUUCUACACGUCUGGGACGGGAAGUUACAAAUAGUUCUUUCGAUUUGUUUUCUUAAAAAAAAUUUUGGAAAUUAUUUUUUAAUAUACGAACGAACGAAAUUGCCGCAAACUACCAACAGUGAAUACUAGCGAAUUGCUUGCUACUCACUGGUGUUAGAAGUUGUGGGGUUGCCGAUGGCGAUGAGACGUCUGUGGUGAAUUUAAUGCCCGAUCCCAAAUCGAAGUCGCAUAUCUUAAUCGGGCACAAUUUGUCUGGAUAGACACAUAGAAUAUUUUCCGGCUUCAGAUCACGA